UUUCCAGUGAGUGCAGCUGUGUGUGUGUGGGGUAGGGGGGUAAUGGGAUGUGGAGGUAGCACCACGUAAGAGCAGCGAGGGGCUGGCAGCGGGCCCUGCACCCAGCAGCUGUGUCACAGCACCGUGCUGCUGCCAGCACAUGCCUGGGGUCUGUGGGUUGCAGAGGGCCAUGGCAGGAGGGGCCGGCUGCCCCACACUGCUGCCCCACAUUGCUGCACUGCUGCCCCACCACUCACCUCAGCUGCUGCGUGUGGGAGCGACUGACGGUGCUUUGCUGCCAUGCUGUGAAUUGAAGGCAUUUGGUGCUCUGCACUGCAUCCAGCACAUUCCCUUUGCUUUGUCACCAGGCAACCAACCGCAGGCAGUGAACCAGUACGGGCAUCCUUCGCACUUCUGACUCAAAAGGUGGGAAGGAGGCGGCGCGUUCCGUUUGCACUGAAGAACAGAACAUUCAAAAUCCAAUGCACUACUUACUGCUAGAAAGCAAACCUUCGUUUCCUUCUCUGAUUAUUUCAGUAAUUAUUUUUUGUGCUGCAGUUGAUGGAUUUACUUACCCCUGGUGGGAGUGUACCGCUCUUCAUAGUAGUUAAAGCAGUCACAGACACUGAUGGGUGAGACUGGUGUAACCUGUGUGGUCACUCCAUCCAUCUGCUGAAGGAAGCACACAGCAAACCAUGUGCAGCUGAUGCUCAGAAAUGGUCACGUCAGCUGAGUAUAAAGUCUUAAGUGAACAAAUAAGUGAAAUAAAUCCCCAACUCAAUCAUUAUGUGGUUAAAUGA
Non-coding RNA from Coturnix japonica (Japanese quail), 779 nucleotides. NCBI's taxonomy places the organism in Eukaryota, Metazoa, Chordata, Aves, Galliformes, Phasianidae. The record is from RefSeq and is a predicted model, not a curated record.